UACGUAGGGCGCAAGCGUUGUCCGGAAUUAUUGGGCGUAAAGAGCUCGUAGGCGGCUUGUUGCGUCGACCGUGAAAACCCGGGGCUCAACUUCGGGCUUGCGGUCGAUACGGGCGGGCUAGAGUUCGGUAGGGGAGACUGGAAUUCCUGGUGUAGCAGUGAAAUGCGUAGAUAUCAGGAGGAAUACCGAUGGCGAAGGCAGGUCUCUGGGCUGACACUGACGCUCAUGCACGAAAGCGUGGGGAGCAAACAGG
RNAcentral lists this ribosomal RNA (253 nucleotides) under uncultured bacterium. Its description in RNAcentral is "partial 16S ribosomal RNA". It matches the Rfam family "Bacterial small subunit ribosomal RNA", at positions 524 to 776 of the family's 1533-position model. The record is from RNAcentral.